CUCACAACUAAUCUUAAGCAUCCUUAAUUAGCUCUACUAAUCUCAAUCCAGGAGAUCGAUCAAACGAAGUGCGGAGAAAAUGAGAACUGUUAUUGUUGUUGUUAUGUUGGUGAUGAUGAUGAGUUGUUGCAUGGCUACAAGUAGGAGUUUGAACAAUUAUGAGCAGCAGCCUGAAGGAGGAGGAGGAACAAGAACAAUGGAUAAUCAUCAUUAUAUGAGUAGGGAUCAAUUCAAUGACAAGUAUGGUGGUGGAGGUGCCUCUCCCAUAAAUGAUAAAACAGAUGAUGGAAAAGUCUAAAAUAUGUAACCCUAGCUAGCUACCAAAAAUAAUGCUCUUGAAAUGAUAUAAAAUAUGGAGUAUUGAUAUAUGAAUGUUACAUAUAUCUUAUUGGUAGUCUGUUUCCAUUACACCCCUUAGAAGAUGAUCUUUUUGACUCUGCUAAUGCAGAAUGGUUUGUGGAUCGGACUAUUUAUCUAUCUAUCUAUAUAUAUUAGUAUUAGUAAAUGCGAAUAAGAUGUGGUCAGAGUUCAUCUCCAUGUAAUUUGACCUUAUGUAAAUAUUCAUGGUUGUAAAUGUGUGUGUAUAUACAAAUAUGAUAUUGCUUUGGGUAUUGUAAUUGAAGUUAUGUUAUUGGAGUUCACGUUGAAGGUUUUUUUUU
Long non-coding RNA from Solanum lycopersicum (tomato), 659 nucleotides. RefSeq lists it as uncharacterized. The record is from RefSeq and is a predicted model, not a curated record. Lineage: Eukaryota; Viridiplantae; Streptophyta; Magnoliopsida; Solanales; Solanaceae.